RNAcentral lists this ribosomal RNA (301 nucleotides) under uncultured bacterium. RNAcentral describes it as "partial 16S ribosomal RNA". It matches the Rfam family "Bacterial small subunit ribosomal RNA", at positions 509 to 807 of the family's 1533-position model. The record is from RNAcentral.
CAGCCGCCGCGGUAAUACGGAGGGGGCUAGCGUUGUUCGGAAUUACUGGGCGUAAAGCGCACGUAGGCGGCUUUGUAAGUUAGAGGUGAAAGCCUGGAGCUCAACUCCAGAAUUGCCUUUAAGACUGCAUCGCUUGAAUCGCGGAGAGGUGAGUGGAAUUCCGAGUGUAGAGGUGAAAUUCGUAGAUAUUCGGAAGAACACCAGUGGCGAAGGCGGCUCACUGGCUCAUACUGGACGCUGAGGUGCGAAAGCGUGGGGAGCAAACAGGAUUAGAUACCCGGGUAGUCCCUGUCUCUUAUAC